RNAcentral lists this ribosomal RNA (349 nucleotides) under uncultured Anoxybacillus sp. RNAcentral describes it as "bacterial SSU rRNA". It matches the Rfam family "Bacterial small subunit ribosomal RNA", at positions 1032 to 1382 of the family's 1533-position model. The record is from RNAcentral. Lineage: Bacteria; Bacillati; Bacillota; Bacilli; Caryophanales; Anoxybacillaceae.
GGACAGGUGGUGCAUGGUUGUCGUCAGCUCGUGUCGUGAGAUGUUGGGUUAAGUCCCGCAACGAGCGCAACCCUCGACCUUAGUUGCCAGCAUUCAGUUGGGCACUCUAAGGUGACUGCCGGCUAAAAGUCGGAGGAAGGUGGGGAUGACGUCAAAUCAUCAUGCCCCUUAUGACCUGGGCUACACACGUGCUACAAUGGGCGGUACAAAGGGUCGCGAACCCGCGAGGGGGAGCCAAUCCCAAAAAGCCGCUCUCAGUUCGGAUUGCAGGCUGCAACUCGCCUGCAUGAAGCCGGAAUCGCUAGUAAUCGCGGAUCAGCAUGCCGCGGUGAAUACGUUCCCGGGCCUU